GACGAACGCUGGCGGCGUGCUUAACACAUGCAAGUCGAACGGAAAGGCCCUGCUUUUGUGGGGUGCUCGAGUGGCGAACGGGUGAGUAACACGUGAGUAACCUGCCCUUGACUUUGGGAUAACUUCAGGAAACUGGGGCUAAUACCGGAUAGGAGCUCCUGCUGCAUGGUGGGGGUUGGAAAGUUUCGGCGGUUGGGGAUGGACUCGCGGCUUAUCAGCUUGUUGGUGGGGUAGUGGCUUACCAAGGCUUUGACGGGUAGCCGGCCUGAGAGGGUGACCGGCCACAUUGGGACUGAGAUACGGCCCAGACUCCUACGGGAGGCAGCAGGGGGGAAUAUUGCACAAUGGGCGGAAGCCUGAUGCAGCAACGCCGCGUGCGGGAUGACGGCCUUCGGGUUGUAAACCGCUUUCGCCUGUGACGAAGCUUGAGUGACGGUAAUGGGUAAAGAAGCACCGGCUAACUACGUG
RNAcentral lists this ribosomal RNA (468 nucleotides) under uncultured bacterium. RNAcentral describes it as "partial 16S ribosomal RNA". It matches the Rfam family "Bacterial small subunit ribosomal RNA", at positions 28 to 507 of the family's 1533-position model. The record is from RNAcentral.